This 368-nucleotide long non-coding RNA is filed under the name Olea europaea (common olive). RNAcentral describes it as "long non-coding RNA (OEUR_LNC004989)". The record is from RNAcentral. Lineage: Eukaryota; Viridiplantae; Streptophyta; Magnoliopsida; Lamiales; Oleaceae.
AGACAUGCUUUAAAGAGAAAUUUAUGAACAACAUAUGCAGAAUUAAAAAAUGAAAGUAGAAGGCCAAUAAUAUCAACUACAAGUGAUGGCAAAGAAAGGAAACAACACGUCACAUAGCCAAAUAACAAGUGUUACCUUCAUCCUCAAUUCCAACCAGAACUUCGCCGACUUCUCCAACCACAACCACUAAAAAGGAAAUCUAAUUAGAGCUAUAUCUCUUGAAUAGGCAAUUCAAUAAAAUGAAGAAAAAACACUACAUCAAGAGUAAAAUAGCAUAAUAGUGAACCCUCACAUUUAGUGGGGUUUCUGGGAAAAAUACAAUUGUUUCUUCUCCUGGAGCUGGACCGAAACUUCCACAACGAAAAUUU